CUGUCUCCUCUUUCAAUCAGUGAAACUAAUCUCCCCGUGAAGAAGCGGGGAUACUUAUAUAAGACGAGAAGACCCUAUGGAGCUUCAAACCCAACUACACCCCUAACUCUAUAGCCCCUCAACCACACUGGCCCCUGUAUAGUUGAUUUUAGGUUGGGGCGACCACGGAGUAAAACAAAACCUCCAUAAUGAACGGGCCUACCCCCUUAUCUAAGAACCACACCCCCUAAGAAUUAGAAUACUAACAUAAAAUGAUCCAUUAUUUGAUUAAUGAACCAAGUUACCCUAGGGAUAACAGCGCAAUCCAUUUCGAGAGCCCAUAUCGACAAAUGGG
RNAcentral lists this ribosomal RNA (334 nucleotides) under Mantidactylus sp. 9 MV-2009. RNAcentral's name for it is "partial 16S ribosomal RNA". It matches the Rfam family "Bacterial large subunit ribosomal RNA", at positions 2016 to 2516 of the family's 2925-position model. Lineage: Eukaryota; Metazoa; Chordata; Amphibia; Anura; Mantellidae. The record is from RNAcentral.